AUAAUGUUCAACAAAGUAAGAUGUACAAAUAAGUCAACAUGACCAAAAUUGUCAGAAAACCCCUUUAGGAGUUAUUGUCCUUUAUAGUCAAUAUUGAACAACUUUUCGUCAUUUUUGUAACUUGUAAAAAAAUGUUCUUUUCUAAAACUAUGGGCCAAAUUGAACAAAACUUGGCCACAAUCAUUUCUAGGGUAUCUAUUUUAAAACAGUGUCUAAUGACCCCGCCUACCAACCAAGAUGGCCGACA
RNAcentral lists this long non-coding RNA (247 nucleotides) under Mytilus galloprovincialis (Mediterranean mussel). The record is from RNAcentral. Lineage: Eukaryota; Metazoa; Mollusca; Bivalvia; Mytilida; Mytilidae.